RNAcentral lists this ribosomal RNA (301 nucleotides) under uncultured bacterium. RNAcentral's name for it is "partial 16S ribosomal RNA". It matches the Rfam family "Bacterial small subunit ribosomal RNA", at positions 509 to 807 of the family's 1533-position model. The record is from RNAcentral.
CAGCCGCCACGGGAAUACGGAGGGUGCAAGCGUUAUCCGGAUUUAUUGGGUUUAAAGGGUCCGUAGGCGGAUCUGUAAGUCAGUGGUGAAAUCUCACAGCUUAACUGUGAAACUGCCAUUGAUACUGCAGGUCUUGAGUAAAUUUGAAGUGGCUGGAAUAAGUAGUGUAGCGGUGAAUUGCAUAGAUAUUACUUAGAACACCAAUUGCGAAGGCAGGUCACUAAGAUUUAACUGACGCUGAUGGACGAAAGCGUGGGGAGCGAACAGGAUUAGAUACCCCAGUAGUCCCUGUCUCUUAUAC